CUACGGGCCGCUCCAGUGGGGAAUAUUGGACAAUGGGGGAAACCCUGAUCCAGCAAUGCCGCGUGUGCGAAGAAGGCCUGCGGGUUGUAAAGCACUUUCGGUUGGGAGGACUGCUUCUAGCACUAAUAUUGUUGGAAGUUGACGUUACCUUCAGAAGAAGCACCGGCUAACUCCGUGCCAGCAGCCGCGGUAAUACGGAGGGUGCAAGUGUUAAUCGGAAUUACUGGGCGUAAAGCGCGCGUAGGCGGCUAGAUCAGUCGGGUGUGAAAGCCCCGGGCUUAACCUGGGAACUGCAUCCGAUACUGUCUAGCUUGAGUACAGGAGAGGAGAGUGGAAUUCCACAUGUAGCGGUGAAAUGCGUAGAUAUGUGGAGGAACACCAAUGGCGAAGGCAGCUCUCUGGCCUGAUACUGACGCUGAGGUGCGAAAGCGUGAGGAGCAAACAGGAUUAGAUACCCCGGUAGUC
This 465-nucleotide ribosomal RNA is filed under the name uncultured bacterium. Its description in RNAcentral is "partial 16S ribosomal RNA". It matches the Rfam family "Bacterial small subunit ribosomal RNA", at positions 339 to 795 of the family's 1533-position model. The record is from RNAcentral.